AGCGCAGAGCUGGGACGGACACGGACAGAGCGGGGACGGAGCGGAGCGGAGCGGGGGCGCAGCGGGGACAG
This 71-nucleotide microRNA precursor is filed under the name Myotis lucifugus (little brown bat). RNAcentral describes it as "miRNA (ENSMLUG00000028272.1)". Lineage: Eukaryota; Metazoa; Chordata; Mammalia; Chiroptera; Vespertilionidae. The record is from RNAcentral.